RNAcentral lists this non-coding RNA (88 nucleotides) under Shigella sonnei. The record is from RNAcentral. Lineage: Bacteria; Pseudomonadati; Pseudomonadota; Gammaproteobacteria; Enterobacterales; Enterobacteriaceae.
AAUUAUGGCGGGGCGUACGGGGCCGACUUCGGUCGGGCCGGGAUCGUGUGUAGCCGGUGUUGAGAACCCCGUACGUCUCGCCACCCCG